UGUAAAUGGGAUUCUAAGGCUUUAGGAGAG
Molecule: non-coding RNA, 30 nt
Filed under: Rattus norvegicus (Norway rat)
Lineage: Eukaryota; Metazoa; Chordata; Mammalia; Rodentia; Muridae
Source: RNAcentral